GAUAAACGCUGGCGGCGUGCAUAACACAUGCAAGUCGAACGAUGAAGCUUAAAUGAUCUCUUCGGAGUGACCUUAAGUGGAUUAGUGGCGGACGGGUGAGUAACGCGUGAGUAACCUGCCUUGCACAAGGGGAUAGCCGUUGGAAACGACGAAUAAUACCCUAUGAUAUGAUAGCCUCGCAUGAAGCUAUCAUCAAAGAUUUAUCGGUGUAAGAUGGACUCGCGUCUGAUUAGCUAGUUGGUGGGGUAACUGCUCACCAAGGCAACGAUCAGUAGCCGGCUUGAGAGAGUGUACGGCCACAUUGGGACUGAGACACGGCCCAGACUCCUACGGGAGGCAGCAGUGGGGAAUUUUGCACAAUGAGGGAAACCCUGAUGCAGCGACGCCGCGUGAUUUAGAAGGCCUUCGGGUUGUAAAAAUCUUUUGUAUGGGAAGAAAAUGACAGUACCAUACGAAUAAGGACCGGCUAAUUACGUGCCAGCAGCCGCGGUAAUACGUAAGGUCCGAGCGUUGUCCGGAAUCAUUGGGCGUAAAGGGUACGUAGGCGGAUAAGCAAGUUAGAAGUGAAAUCCUAUAGCUCAACUAUAGUAAGCUUUUAAAACUGCUCAUCUUGAGGUAUGGAAGGGAAAGUGGAAUUCCUAGUGUAGCGGUGAAAUGCGCAGAUAUUAGGAGGAAUACCGGUGGCGAAGGCGACUUUCUGGCCAUAAACUGACGCUGAGGUACGAAAGCGUGGGUAGCAAACAGGAUUAGAUACCCUGGUAGUCCACGCCGUAAACGAUGAGUGUUAGGUGUCUGGAAUAAUCUGGGUGCCGCAGCUAACGCAAUAAACACUCCGCCUGGGGAGUACGCACGCAAGUAUGAAACUCAAAGGAAUUGACGGGGACCCGCACAAGCAGCGGAGCAUGUGGUUUAAUUCGAGGCUACGCGAAGAACCUUACCAGGACUUGACAUACCAAGGAAAGUUUUUAGAGAUAAAAACCCUAGAUUUAUCUACCUUGGAUACAGGUGGUGCAUGGUUGUCGUCAGCUCGUGUCGUGAGAUGUUGGGUUAAGUCCCGCAACGAGCGCAACCCUUACAUUUAGUUACUAACAGGUAGUGCUGAGGACUCUAGAUGGACUGCCGAUGACAAAUCGGAGGAAGGUGGGGAUGACGUCAAAUCAUCAUGCCCUUUAUGUCCUGGGCUACACACGUGCUACAAUGGUCGGUACAAAGAGAAGCUAAAUAGCGAUAUCAAGCAAACCUCAAAAAACCGAUCCCAGUUCGGAUUGAUCUCUGCAACUCGAGAUCAUGAAGCCGGAGUUGCUAGUAAUCGCAGAUCAGAAUGCUGCGGUGAAUGCGUUCCCGGGUCU
Molecule: ribosomal RNA, 1349 nt
Filed under: uncultured bacterium
Lineage: Bacteria
Description: bacterial SSU rRNA
Rfam family: Bacterial small subunit ribosomal RNA
Source: RNAcentral